This 916-nucleotide long non-coding RNA is filed under the name Homo sapiens (human). RNAcentral's name for it is "long intergenic non-protein coding RNA 2965". The record is from RNAcentral. Lineage: Eukaryota; Metazoa; Chordata; Mammalia; Primates; Hominidae.
GAGCUUCGGGAUUCCGCCUACCCGGUAGCGGCUGUUUAGACCCAGACCGGCCCCUGCGCGAUAUGAGCACCGCUCAGGACUGCAGCUGUUGGGCACCAGCAGCCAGGCCACCACCUCCUUCAUGCUCCUCUGUGAUCACCUCUCCAAGUCCCGGUGUCAGGAGCCUUCUCUGUGGCCGCCCUGGAGAGACUUGAGCCUGGGACGUGACGUGCUGGGCUGUGAAGCUUUCUGAGAAGGGAAACCUGUGGCCUGACCUGCCUGAAUGCUGCACCCAACCUCAUCUCUUCCUGGGAGAAACCAACAACUGUCAGCAUUGACACCAUCAGGCCUUUCUCUUCUAAUUUAACCUUGCAGCCAACCACACGGCUAUCUGUGCGGGAUCUCUCCCCAAGCUCAAGGACAUGAGAUGCGGAUCAGGCCCAAGAGGCUGGAUGCCAAACCUAUCCUCUCCAUGUGAAGCACCAACUUGGGGGUGUCAACUAAAAAUAUGAGACCCGUAAACUUGGAAAGGAAGACUUUAUUUCUUGAGAAGGGUUGCAAACUGCAGGCUGGGAAGUGGCACCUCCAGCUGAGACCACAAACAGUGGACUUUCUCAAACUGGGGUAUUGACCUCUGAUGAACCGCCAUGCAAACCCGUGCCUUUCAACAUAAAAAGAAGCCCUUCGAGGUGCUCACCUUCAAGCUUGCUAGAGGAGGAGGAAGAGCAGUCUUCAAGAGGCCUGGCCAGGUGGAAUGCCCCCCAGUCUGAGUUUGUCUGGUGCUUCCUUACCAUGAGACUGGGGUCUUGGAGUUUUGAGGUUUUGGAAAGACACCUCAGAAGUUAAGUAUCUUUCUUGUCACAUUGCAUUAGGGGGGUACAUGGUAUCAAUAUCUCUUUUCUCUGGUGAUGUAAAACUUGAUCAUUUGAAUAAUGUA